AUAAAAGUUUUGAUGAAGAGCCAAUUUGUAAACGAAUUGAACCAGAGAGAUGACGAAUGGGUGCGAGUGUCAUAAUUCAAAACAGAUUGGUAUGGCUUCUGAACUGAGUUAUCGAUAUUGUAGGUAACUCCGUACCAGGCGUUAACGAUUCGAGUGUAUAAUAGAACUAUUAUAAACUAAGGUGGAACCGCGGUCUUUUGCCGUCCUUAGA
Molecule: non-coding RNA, 211 nt
Filed under: Bacillus sp. (in: firmicutes)
Lineage: Bacteria; Bacillati; Bacillota; Bacilli; Caryophanales; Bacillaceae
Description: Bacillus sp. T-box sequence
Rfam family: T-box leader
About the family: Uncharged tRNA acts as the effector for transcription antitermination of genes in the T-box leader family. T-boxes are found upstream of many aminoacyl-tRNA synthetase genes and some amino acid biosynthetic genes usually in Gram-positive bacteria. The anticodon of a specific tRNA base pairs to a specifier sequence within the T-box motif, and the NCCA acceptor tail of the tRNA base pairs to a conserved bulge in the T-box antiterminator hairpin.
Source: RNAcentral